UACGGAGGGGGUUAGCGUUGUUCGGAAUUACUGGGCGUAAAGCGCGCGUAGGCGGAUUGGAAAGUUAGAGGUGAAAUCCCGGGGCUCAACCCCGGAACUGCCUUUAAAACUCCCAGUCUUGAGUUCGAGAGAGGUGAGUGGAACUCCGAGUGUAGAGGUGAAAUUCGUAGAUAUUCGGAAGAACACCAGUGGCGAAGGCGGCUCACUGGCUCGAUACUGACGCUGAGGUGCGAAAGUGUGGGGAGCAAACAGGAUUAGAUACCCGGGUAGUCC
Molecule: ribosomal RNA, 273 nt
Filed under: uncultured bacterium
Lineage: Bacteria
Description: partial 16S ribosomal RNA
Rfam family: Bacterial small subunit ribosomal RNA
Source: RNAcentral